Cyanistes caeruleus (blue tit) is the source of this 7761-nucleotide long non-coding RNA. RefSeq lists it as uncharacterized. NCBI's taxonomy places the organism in Eukaryota, Metazoa, Chordata, Aves, Passeriformes, Paridae. The record is from RefSeq and is a predicted model, not a curated record.
ACUACCACAAGUUUAUUGCACAAAUGUUCCUUAUCUUCAAAAGCAUUAAUAUUACAGCCAAACUGGAGUUCUCCAAGAUGCUGAAAUUAUUCCAAUAUAUCACUUCUGAUCUGUCCUUUCCUGACAAAGCCAAUAUUCCUGUCAGCUCCCCCCAGUCCAUUUAUUAUGGAAAUAACUUUUCCCUUGGACGGGACUCACACCUUGAUCAGAGAUCAGAGCAGUGAGAACAGGAGACCACAGAACAUGUCAACACAGAAAACUGGAGCUUGUGCCAGCUCCCUCAGAGGACCAUUUCACAGUUUUCUGCUCUUUACACUAGUAGCUGGCUGCUAUUCUCCUUUUGCUUAAAGAAAAAAAAAAAGAAAAAGAAAAAGAAAAAAGAAAAAAAAAAAGGAUCCUUUCUUUGGGAAUAGGAACAUGGUGUUUGGUGGAAAAGUGAUGUGACUGUGAGCUCAAGUCUUGCCAGCCAUGGAGAGGCCAGUUAUCUAUAAAUGCUGGCCUCACAGGAGUUUAUGGUUGUUGGCAGCUCAUGUAAAAAGUAAAAAUUUCAGGUACUGCCAUGUGGGUGAAUGGAUCAUCUCAUCUAUUACUACUAUUACUAUUAGCAUUACUAUUAGCCUUACUAUUAGCCUUACUAUUACUAUUACUAUUACUAUUACUAUUACUAUUAUUAUUUUAAAGCAGUGGAUGAGAUGAAUGAGCAGCACUGUGCCCAUUCCUAAACCUCAGCAUCAAACCCAAGUGCUCUGGAGUGUAGCCACGGCAGGCUUAACCAUGGCCCAUGCACUGAGGAUGAGAGGAGGCUUGUGACCAGGACCAGAAAAGCUGUGGUGGGGACCCAGGGCACCCUGUACACCCCUGCCUUGCCUGGUCUGGCUUUACAGCAAGGCCAAGGGAUGCAGCAGGUACCCUGCAGGGGUACAGCCUUGGCCAGGUGUGGGGGUCCCUUCCAGCUGGUGGCAGUACCCCUGCUUCUAGCUGCCGCUGGGCACAGGAGGGAACACCCCUCUUUUGUUUCCUCUGGUGUGCGUCCAGUAAUUAUUACCUUUUCACGCAGUUGGGGCCACUCAUUGCUUUCCAGAAUCCCAUGCACUGCCAAAGAUGGAGCCGCCACAGUACUGACAUGGGCACAAGCUGGCGAGUUCCAAAUCCAUCAUAGAGACUGGAGCAAAAACCAGAUCCAGUGGUAGCUGGAAAGGAGGGAUGGGCUGCCCUGUCCCAUUGCCUCUCUCCUCAGUGAUGCCAGGCCUGUAGGCCUCUGCUGACGGCAAGGUCCAAAAUGUCUCUGCCCUGUACCAGCUGCCCCCUCGGCAGGGCAGGGGGAGUCUCAGGACCGCCAAUUCCGGCUGCCUGCAAUUACAGCAUAUUAGCCCGGGCCGUUAAUUGUCCUGCCUUCCCGGGGUCCCACUUCGAGGCCACCGCUUCUCCAAGCUCGGUUCACCAUACCCUUAGGACACACCCAAGGCCGCUUCGGCCCGGACGGCGGAGGAGGGAGCCGGGCCGGGGCCGUGAGGGGGACCCGUUUCCCGCCGGAGCCGCUUUCCCGCCCGGCGCUCAAAGCUUAGGCGAGGGGGACCUCUGCAGGCCGCACCGCCAGCAGGCCCCAAGCACGGCUGGCACCCCCGUGUGGGACCGAGCGGGCCGGGCCGCCUCCUGCCUAGAGGUUUUCGCAAGGGGAAAAAGCCCUUCUGAAAGUUAAAAGGUGAAAAGAGGGUUUCGUGAGCAAACCCGCGUCCGUGGCAUUCCUUUUUCUGUGAGGUGAGCAGCCACGUCAUAUCCCACAGAGAAAUCAAAUCAUACUUUCCAGGGUUUGUGACAUUACUAACGUCACCGUGUGAAGAAGCAUAUUGAACCCCCAUAUCAGGACCUGAUGCUACCACGAUAAUGCAGUCUGAAGAGUGAAACCCAUCCCCUGGUUCACAGCCAUUCUGGAGAGGAUUGCCACUUAAAACAAAGUGACACCAAUGGACACAAGUCUCGGGGAGAGGAUGGAAGGUGAAAACCCGGCACAGGGUUAGAAGUGAUCUGAAGCAUCUCAGAAGCAGUGGGGUGACACAAAAGCUAGAAGCUCUUCCUAGUCCAUCUUGUGCCUGCCUCCAAGCCCCUGUCCUCCAAAAUCAAAGUGUCUCAUUGAAUUUCAGCCAAAAUGUGACUAGGGACAUGACAAAGAAAUUCAGUCCUUGGAUGUUUCAAAUCCUGCCAUCAUCAAGAACUGAUCUUUGGAGAACUCCCUGCUGUGUGCAUACAGCUCCUUUAUAGCCAAGGUCACCUCUAGCAGAAACUCUCCUGCCUCCCUGCUUCACCCCCAGAACCGAGAGGGUUGCAGAGUCCCUAGGUCACUGCCUGUCAACUUAACAGGACUUCACGCCUGAAAUGAGCCCUCCCUUGCAUAUGUCCUGUUCCAGCUGCUUGAGAGAGUGUCCCCCCUUCACUGCUCAUGGGAUCCUCUGUGCCCUGCUCUGACGCUGGCAGAGCCGACAGUGUGAAGUCCUACAUAUGUACAGGUGGACACUCCCCAGGUUAUUUUCUGCUCUCAGUUUCAUGGGCAGCAAUCACACUCCACUCUAGCCCUGCCUCUAGAGCACACAAAUGAGUAUUACAACCCUUAUACUUCCCAUGAGUAUUUUCAGAAAAUUAAUAAUAAUUUGAAGGAAAAUAUAAUGUUUCACAGCAGGUUGUUUGUUUGUUUUUGCUGGGUUUUUUUGUUUGUGUAUUUAUUCCCGGAGAGUGGGGAGUAUCACAAGUCACGUUCAUUUAUGCUCAUGCUGACAGCUCCCCCCCGUGUCCUGUGCUUGCACAUCUUUUGCACAGACACCCUUACCCACACCAGGGAUGCUUGGUGGAGAGAAGAUGGAGACAGACUCUUCUUGGGGUAUUGGGAAAGAUGAAAGGCCAAGAGACACAAGGAGUGACAGACAAGUUGCAUCAAAGGAAACUGUGAUUACUUAUAAGAGAAAGAAACUUUCCACAUGAUUAAUAGUCAAAUACUGGAGCACAGACCCAACUUUGAAGUCACUAACUGUGUCAACAUUCAGAGGUUUACUGAACUGAGAAACCUGCCCUAGAAGCACUGAGCUCUGGUCCUCAGAGAGAGAGCUUGAUCAGAGAUUUCCUGAGGUCACUUCCAACAUGAAUUAUGUGAUGAUUGAAUGAUGAAGCAAAAAAAUCCUUGGCUGCUACUCCUGCAUCCCCCUCAUCCAUCAGUGCUUUCCUGCACACCAGAAUGAACUGGAGCAGUCAAGCAACUUCCAAGUCCAUCAGUACAGGAGGAAUCAGCCACAAUACCCAUGGGCAAGAUAGCAAAACAGCUUCUACCCUUAUUCUUUGUGCCCUGUCCAGCCCAGGGUACAGAACCCAUGAUCAAGGGGAGAGGCAAUCUGCCCUAUUUGACAUACGAGUACUUCAAGGGAAAGCAAAAGAUGAAUUAGCACUGCAAGAUGUAAAGACACAGAAAAGAUCACCCCAAAGUGAGAAGAAAUAAUAAUCAACUGAUAUCUUGGUUCUGCCACCAGGACCUCCUAUUUCAUUUAACUGAUGCUUGGGUGAGACAUUCAGAGCUGGGCUCUGAAGCACCUCACUUGGGAGUGGUGACAAGUCUCCCCCUCAAAACCCUCUUGCAAUGGGUUUAAUGGUAAGAAAAUUGAAGGAGAGGUAAGGACUCAGUGGGAAACUUCCCAGCCCUACUACACUGUUUCAGCUGUGUUGCAGCCUUGAUUUUGGUACCUUCUCUAGGCUCCCCUUUACAGCUGGGAGGAUGAGAUUUCCAGAGACAUGACUGGAAAGAACGGGUUUGGGCAGGAAAUUUUUAGGGGGGAAACAGGACAGGCAUUCCAUUACCUGCAAACAUGGCUGGAGCCUGCAUGCACAGGCUGAGCCUUGCUCCUCUCUUAGCUGGCAUCCCCAAAGCAAGGCACAAGAGCUCGGCAAUUCUUCCUGAAAGAUGCUCCGUGUCCUGGCAGAGGAUGCUUGUGAGGCCCUCUCAGUAUCUUUGGCUGGCCCUGAGAGUCCCCAGGACUUGGUCAGAAGUCCAAUGGUCAUGCUUGGUCAGCAUGCAAUGUGACUCUGUGCCCCUCACAGCUCACACUGCCAGGACAGGACCGGGGGCUUCCCUUGCAGUUUCCUAAUGGGUGUGGGUCUGGCACAUGCUGGGCACAGGAGUUCAUUCACAAGCUCUGGCAAAUGCCUACCUAGAUCUUAAUUUUUUUCCAGGCCUUAACUGUUAACCAAGGCAGGAAUCUCCCUUCAAAGGAACAGUGCUCAAAAAAAAUCUAUUUCUUAGCCAGUGAUACAGAAGGCAAAUAGUUCAUAUCAGUCCCAGAGAUGGUGGAGUUCAUCUCAUAUUCUUCUUCAUAUGCAAUGCUCUAAAAAAACAAAACCUUGAUGAUCUGAUUUUGAUGCAGUACUCCACCAUGACUGCUAAUUGUUUUCUCAUUAGUCCUUGCUUUUGAAAGUAAAGCUAGAUUUUGUUGGAAUAGCUCUGAAAAUCUAUCAGGCUCAAGAGGUGUGGCUUACUAGCAGCAGGAAGGUGCAGAGAAAUAGAUGAUGGGUAUGUGCUAACUUUUCAGAUUACUGGAAAAUGUCCCAGUGAAGUUAUCUUGUCCCUGCUGCAGACACAGACUCUGAAUAUUGCUUGUCCUUGCCUGGCAGCAAGAGAGAGCAGCAGCAGCAUCUGUUGGCAGCAGAGGGGAUGCAGCCAUGAGGCAUGGGUGCUCACUGUCCCAGGGACCUUCUCAUUGCAGUUGCUUAGUGUAAGCCUAAAAUUAUCACGUUCAAAUUGAUGGGAAGAGCAGAGUUUUGAAAAGCUGUGUCUCAAUAAGAAAGUUUAUUCUCCUUUUUCUUAGAGCUGAUAAACUGCUGCCCUAACCAAGGCAGGUGGAGAAAGAUUUCUGUGAAUAAAUGAGACAAAAAGGUCUGUCAGAAGAGGAUUAGUUGGGGCGGAGCCUGCCUCUGAGCAAGACAGAGGGCGAGGCGACCUUGCAAAGCCUGUCUGGGCUAUUUUCUUGAGCUCUGGCAAGAAGACUGUAAAGGCAGUAGUGACACAGGAGAGCUGCAUUCAAAGUGGAAAUUAAUUUUGCUGUAAUGCCUGCUGUUGCUGCUGCUUACACAGCAAUGAAUAAUGGCUGUCUAGCCUUGAAAUCCUAAAAUCCCCCAGUUGUCCCCAACCCUAGGGAGCAUGAGCAAGUCAAAUGGAGGCUUUUCCAUACCAGGAGGGCCCUUGCUCUGUGGCCUACUGGGAAGUGUAGUUCAGUGCCUGUAUGGCCAUUUCAGAGCAGCCUUUGCUCCCUCUGGUUAGCAGAGCCUAAGGUUUGAGAGCAAGGAGUUUUGUGGGGCAAGGUUGGGAUGGCUCCUUGAGUUCAUUUGCUCCUUGCUUCAGUUGACCAUCCCUCUCUGAAGUGUGGGAUCAUGAGAUAUUCCCUCUUUGCUAGGAUGUCUGAGGGGAAGAGCUGCAUGAUGUCCUUUCUGAGAUGCUGUUCUGCAACCCCAACAGAGAAAGACAACCUUGGUGGUGAGGGGCUUGUCAAAUCCUGCUGCCAGUAGAAAUAAGGGUGGGCACAAGCAAACAGGAGACAUGGCUGGAAAUAAGGCAUGUGGACAAACAUUGUCCUGAAUAGGGAGUGUCCAGGGUUGCUAUGGAACAGGGCCAGCCUGGGCUUGUGCUUGCUUGCCCCACUGAGUCAGGGUCAGAGUCACCAGGUUAGCUCAGCCUUCCCCAGGGAAAGGUUCAUGCUGACAUAUCAUGGAAACCAAAGGGAGAACAGUGCUUUAAACACGGCAGAUUAGGCUAGUGAGGGGCAGGGCAAGUAAGGAGCAUUUGGGGUUCAAAUAUUGCAUAAAAGCUCAAAAGCUGCAAGAGAAGAGGAGGGAAAUACGGACCUGGCCAACCACCCACAGACACUGGAUGUGACCAGGUAUGUAACUGCAGCAAAGCCAGCAAACCUCCAGCAUCUGGCAAAGAAAAAGUGGGUUUGCACACUUUUGAGUCUGGGGCAUAUCUUGAAGAACAUGAGACUGGAUGGGUUUGGGGGUGUUUCAUCCAAAAUGGAGAAUUAGAACUUUCUGCAUUUCUUCCCGUGUUAUUUUUUUAUUUCCACCAAAGUUUUCUUUCUUUCAGUAAGGAGAUGUGAGUUCCAUCCAGACUGCACCUCCCCAUUUUCAUCCUCAAAAUAAUAACAGCCUCAUUUGCUAAAGGCACUAUAAGGAUAUUAAGUGAAAAUGAAUUAAGUUUAAUUCAAUUGUUAUUUUAGGAGCUUUGCCUCGUCAGGGUUUUGCAAAGCUUCAUUCUUCCACUUGCUGGAGACCAGCUUUAACACGCCCCUGCUGAGAUGUUGCUGCAAGCCACAAACCCAUCACGCUGGGAGUUUUACUUAAUGCUUAGGGUUGGAUUUUAUUUUGCUUAAAUGUCAGAGUCUGUCUGCCAUGCUGCUGGGGGAGAGGGAAGAACCAGAGACUGGUUAGCUCAAGUCCAUCAUAUGCAGCUUAGAAAUAAAAUUAAUUGUCUGGCUGGUGAUUUCUCAGGCAAAACCCCAGCAGUUCUUUGUCCAGAAAGCACCAUGUCACUGCUGCCCUGUUUCAGAGAGGCUUCACCUGCUCAGUGCAUCGGGUCUCAUCUGGAUCUUCUCCACCUGCUGUAGUACCCUUUGGAUCACCAGCACAUGAGGGUGGAAGCUGCCAAGGUGGGAAGAGCUGGGGAAGGAUUAGUUUGCAUCUGCAGAGUACUCAUUUCACCUGCUCUUUGGACUGGCUUAAAUGCACUGCAAAAGCCCCAAAAUGCAUUGGGAGCUGCCCUGGUUAGGGACCACUCCCUCAUCUCCAGUGAGGCAUCAGCUCCACCUGGGAGAAGCUUUGAAAAGGGAGAAAAGAGGAGAGAAGGCAGUGACAGAGGGAUCUGAACUAUCCUAGGGCUGAUGAUUAUGGCUCUGCUAUGUGGGCAGGCAGGCUGCUGUGUGCCUGUAACCACCUGGGCAUUUGGAGAAAAUUCACAGCCCUGCACAGGACUGGGGCAUGAGGAGAGUGUGAUCCUGAGGGGUGAGAAGAAGAGGGCCUCAAACUCCCCCAAAGCCCACCAAAAGAACCUUUCAGAGGAACUGUCAUCUCCCAUAGCUUGUCCAGUGAAGCUGUAGGAUCCAUCCCACCCCUCCUCCCUCUCAUCUCUGGCUGUGUAGCAGAGGGGCAGAAGGGAGGACAAGGCCCCAGAGAUAAAUGCCUGCACAGAGUGCUGGGACAGCUCAGUGUCAGUGGCAGCAAGCAGAAGAAGGGAGCACUCAGAGCAGAGUUCUCCCAGCCCCUAACCUUGCUGAGAGCCAGCACCCAGGAUUUAUGGAAGAAAAUCUUGGAAGUGACCUCUGAUCCACUGCAGCACCAAGCGCGGACUCAGAUGGCAUUACAGCUUGAUGUACAGCCAGCGGGUCUGCCGGGCAGUCUCCUGUGAGCGAUGGCUUGCGAUAUUUCUGGAGUUUAUACCUAGCUCUCCAGCUCGAUGGGCUUUCUGGGUAUGAUUUGUGCCCUGUGUAGCUCUGUAAAUAUUGAGCUCAGAGAAUUAUAUAUGGCGACAGCCCUACAGCACUCCCGGUGAUAUAUCCCCGCGUUUGUGGUUGUAGGCGAAUAAUUUUAGUUUGAGUGGUGUGGCAAUGAGAACAAGGAGGAGGUAAAAUAAAAGGGUAAUUCGAGUCCAAGUGAAUGGCAGGGAGCAUGCGUGAGGCUUCAAAGCCUCUCCCACCAAUCACUCAGGGAAUUGACAGCCAGGACAAUUUCCCAAAUUAG